CCCCGUCAGGAUGAACGCUAGCGGGAGGCCUAACACAUGCAAGCCGAGCGGUAGAGAUCUUUCGGGAUCUUGAGAGCGGCGUACGGGUGCGGAACACGUGUGCAACCUGCCUUUAUCAGGGGGAUAGCCUUUCGAAAGGAAGAUUAAUACCCCAUAAUAUAUUGAGUGGCAUCACUUAAUAUUGAAAACUCCGGUGGAUAGAGAUGGGCACGCGCAAGAUUAGAUAGUUGGUGAGGUAACGGCUCACCAAGUCUGCGAUCUUUAGGGGGCCUGAGAGGGUGAUCCCCCACACUGGUACUGAGACACGGACCAGACUCCUACGGGAGGCAGCAGUGAGGAAUAUUGGACAAUGGGUGCGAGCCUGAUCCAGCCAUCCCGCGUGAAGGACGACGGCCCUAUGGGUUGUAAACUUCUUUUGUAUAGGGAUAAACCUACUCUCGUGAGAGUAGCUGAAGGUACUAUACGAAUAAGCACCGGCUAACUCCGUGCCAGCAGCCGCGGUAAUACGGAGGGUGCAAGCGUUAUCCGGAUUUAUUGGGUUUAAAGGGUCCGUAGGCGGAUCUGUAAGUCAGUGGUGAAAUCUCACAGCUUAACUGUGAAACUGCCAUUGAUACUGCAGGUCUUGAGUGUUGUUGAAGUAGCUGGAAUAAGUAGUGUAGCGGUGAAAUGCAUAGAUAUUACUUAGAACACCAAUUGCGAAGGCAGGUUACUAAGCAACAACUGACGC
RNAcentral lists this ribosomal RNA (727 nucleotides) under Chryseobacterium gleum. RNAcentral's name for it is "bacterial SSU rRNA". It matches the Rfam family "Bacterial small subunit ribosomal RNA", at positions 19 to 746 of the family's 1533-position model. Lineage: Bacteria; Pseudomonadati; Bacteroidota; Flavobacteriia; Flavobacteriales; Weeksellaceae. The record is from RNAcentral.